UGGUAAUAUAAUUUCCUAUUUUCUUCCUUGUGAAUUUAGACAAUACAUAGGCUGUUCCUGGACUUUGCAAGACCCUUAUGCUAUUAACUGGCCCCUACCUGUUUAUGCUUGGCAUCAAAAUUUACAAGCAAUCUAGAAUGGUCGCUAUUUAAUAUUUUGAAUGCAUACAGAUAUUUUGAGUUGACCGAGUCUUAUUCUUGGAGGGGCUUGUUGUAUAGUGA
This 221-nucleotide unclassified non-coding RNA is filed under the name Hevea brasiliensis (rubber tree). The record is from RNAcentral. Lineage: Eukaryota; Viridiplantae; Streptophyta; Magnoliopsida; Malpighiales; Euphorbiaceae.